AUUGAACGCUGGCGGCAUGCUUUACACAUGCAAGUCGAACGGCAGCACGGGAGCAAUCCUGGUGGCGAGUGGCGAACGGGUGAGUAAUGUAUCGGAACGUGCCCAGUCGUGGGGGAUAACGCAGCGAAAGCUGUGCUAAUACCGCAUACGAUCUAUGGAUGAAAGCGGGGGACCGUAAGGCCUCGCGCGAUUGGAGCGGCCGAUAUCAGAUUAGGUAGUUGGUGGGGUAAAGGCCCACCAAGCCAACGAUCUGUAGCUGGUCUGAGAGGACGACCAGCCACACUGGGACUGAGACACGGCCCAGACUCCUACGGGAGGCAGCAGUGGGGAAUUUUGGACAAUGGGCGCAAGCCUGAUCCAGCAAUGCCGCGUGCAGGACGAAGGCC
RNAcentral lists this ribosomal RNA (386 nucleotides) under uncultured bacterium. RNAcentral describes it as "bacterial SSU rRNA". It matches the Rfam family "Bacterial small subunit ribosomal RNA", at positions 29 to 416 of the family's 1533-position model. The record is from RNAcentral.